CUCAUCCUCUCCUCCCCAUUGUUUUCAAAUCUUUCUUUCUCCAUUGUUGCGCCGCCCAUAGCUCUUAAUUUACCAUCAAUUUCUUUUCUUUUUUCCACAAGUUAUUGUAUCAUCUCCCCCACCAUCUUGAAUUCAUUUUUCCCUAAAAUAUUUAGUCCCAAAUUUGAAAUCUUAGACCUCCAAGAUCAAUUCCUAUUGUUGCUAAGAGGUGCCAUUGCCACCCCUAUCAUCUAGCCUGUGUAAGAUCUUCUUUUCUCUUAAUUUCUUGGUAAAUAUUGUGUGAUAAAAACCCAAAAUUCUAGAUCUAUAAUUUGGGGGAUUUUUAAAUAUUUAAUGGGUAUUUUUUCAGAUUUUUUUUAUCUUAAAAGUGGUUUUAAGUCAGCCCCAACUUGGCCACCAUGGGUGGUGGUACACGCGCAUAUAUGCUAGAAAAGGGGGUUGUUCUUCUUUAAUUCCUUCCCAUAUUUUCUAGAAUUAUAUUGAGUUCUUGAAUCCCCCCUAAUCAGCCUUUAAUCAUGUGUUAAUUAGGGAAAAUCGAUAUUGAUCAAUCAACAAUUCAGAUCUGACAAUUCGAGAAGCAUAAGUAUGGUUGAUUGUAAACUAGUUUAUAGUUUCGGUUUAAAUAUUGGGGAUAGAUUUUUAAUUGGUAAAAAUAGAGGAUUUUAAUCAUAUAUUAGCUAAAUAUUUUACAGUAUUUAAAUGUGUUUAGGUGCCGACUUAAAUGCCCCAAGUCAACAGUGAGGCCGAAAGACAUUCGCGCGAACAAUUUGC
RNAcentral lists this long non-coding RNA (771 nucleotides) under Gossypium barbadense (sea-island cotton). Its description in RNAcentral is "long non-coding RNA (GBAR_LNC018946)". Lineage: Eukaryota; Viridiplantae; Streptophyta; Magnoliopsida; Malvales; Malvaceae. The record is from RNAcentral.